This 252-nucleotide ribosomal RNA is filed under the name uncultured bacterium. RNAcentral describes it as "partial 16S ribosomal RNA". It matches the Rfam family "Bacterial small subunit ribosomal RNA", at positions 525 to 776 of the family's 1533-position model. The record is from RNAcentral.
ACGUAUGUCGCAAGCGUUAUCCGGAAUUAUUGGGCAUAAAGGGCAUCUAGGCGGCCAGAUAAGUCUGGGGUGAAAACUUGCGGCUCAACCGCAAGCCUGCCCUGGAAACUAUGUGGCUAGAGUACUGGAGAGGUGGACGGAACUGCACGAGUAGAGGUGAAAUUCGUAGAUAUGUGCAGGAAUGCCGAUGAUGAAGAUAGUUCACUGGACGGUAACUGACGCUGAAGUGCGAAAGCUAGGGGAGCAAACAGG